UGGGGAAUAUUGGACAAUGGGCGCAAGCCUGAUCCAGCCAUACCGCGUGGGUGAAGAAGGCCUUCGGGUUGUAAAGCCCUUUUGUUGGGAAAGAAAUCCAGCUGGCUAAUACCCGGUUGGGAUGACGGUACCCAAAGAAUAAGCACCGGCUAACUUCGUGCCAGCAGCCGCGGUAAUACGAAGGGUGCAAGCGUUACUCGGAAUUACUGGGCGUAAAGCGUGCGUAGGUGGUCGUUUAAGUCCGUUGUGAAAGCCCUGGGCUCAACCUGGGAACUGCAGUGGAUACUGGGCGACUAGAGUGUGGUAGAGGGUAGCGGAAUUCCUGGUGUAGCAGUGAAAUGCGUAGAGAUCAGGAGGAACAUCCAUGGCGAAGGCAGCUACCUGGACCAACACUGACACUGAGGCACGAAAGCGUGGGGAGCAAACAGGAUUAGAUACCCUGGUAGUCCACGCCCUAAACGAUGCGAACUGGAUGUUGGGUGCAAUUUGGCACGCAGUAUCGAAGCUAACGCGUUAAGUUCGCCGCCUGGGGAGUACGGUCGCAAAGACUGAAACUCAAAUGAAUUGACGGGGUCAUA
RNAcentral lists this ribosomal RNA (578 nucleotides) under uncultured bacterium. RNAcentral's name for it is "partial 16S ribosomal RNA". It matches the Rfam family "Bacterial small subunit ribosomal RNA", at positions 355 to 923 of the family's 1533-position model. The record is from RNAcentral.